Long non-coding RNA from Uranotaenia lowii, 1184 nucleotides. RefSeq lists it as uncharacterized. Lineage: Eukaryota; Metazoa; Arthropoda; Insecta; Diptera; Culicidae. The transcript is spliced from 4 exons. The record is from RefSeq and is a predicted model, not a curated record.
GCAAACUAGUGGACGAAAAUUGGAUCGUCAAUCUUUCUUUGCGGAUUUAUAUCACGGCGAAGCUGUAACGCGGAUUUUUUUUUAGAAUCUGUGCGCACAUGGAGGAACAUUCCGGAUGGGGUUCAAGUAAGGAAAUUGGCCAGAUUUCUUUCUCACUACUGGUUGCGCCGAUCAAACUCCGAGCCGCAGCUUUUAUACGUUCAGAGGAAAAGUUAAAAUGGUAUCCUUACUUUUAGUCAUGAGGGAGAGUGAAUCAAAAAACGCCUGUAGGAUAAUGAUUCAGCUAUUUUUACCGCCUGCAAAAUCAAGGACAAUUGAAUGGGUAACACCCAAAUUGGAUCCGGCUAUCUGACAGAAAUUCUAUGAAGUCUGCUGCUGAUAUAGGGAUGAGAUCUGACGCUGAGAAAUAUUUACCUGACCCGGCACCCCGCUCUAGUAUUGAGGCUUAGCCAACCCUAUACGGCGAAGAUGCCGUCCGGGCCUUCGAAUGUUGUUUGCUAUGCAGAUACGCGAAACGCAGCUGCCACAUAUUUGUGAGGACGCAUAAAUGUAAAGCAUGGAUCCAAUGGGCGUGGAAGUGUUGCCAAUAUCGCCGCCUAAAUUCAAAGGAAACCGAUGCUGCUAAGAAGCAGCUCACUUACAGGGUUUCCUGAAUUCGAUCAUCCACGGCCUCUACCGGACUGUCAAUGGUCGGCUUGAUGUUGAAUUUCCGCCAAAAAUCAAUUCCCAGGAUGCAUUUCCUGUUGAGAUCUGGAGCAAUCACUAUAGAUGUACACGGAGGGCACGUUCAUUAAGCUGUCUCUUUUCCAAGCUAUCGAUGCUACGAAUGGCCAGCUCGUAUUCCAGUUCAUCAAUUGUUAAGUGCGCACAGUUCAUUCCAUAGUACAACACAUAAAGAUGGGACAUAUCCAUGUUGAUAAAAUUAAGGUAAAAUUUAAAUUAAUUAAAUAUGUAUUUAAAAUACAGAAAUAUACAGAGAAAACCAAGCAACCUAAUACUGCAAAAUAAAUAAAUAAAUUACCUAAAUAAAAUUAAUUACCAACUAUUUUAACCUCACGAUUCAAAUAAAUAAAUUAAAAUCAAAUCACAAAUUAAUACACAAUGUUUGAAACUUAUUCUAAAUUGAAAUAAAUAACGAAAUGCGUAACGGAAAUACAACCACUAAUAAUAAAACUAAUUUAGAA